UCAUUGGAGAGUUUGAUCCUGGCUCAGGACGAACGCUGGCGGCGUGCUUAACACAUGCAAGUCGAACGGAAAGGCCCUGCUUUUGUGGGGUGC
This 93-nucleotide ribosomal RNA is filed under the name Cutibacterium acnes. RNAcentral describes it as "partial 16S ribosomal RNA". It matches the Rfam family "Bacterial small subunit ribosomal RNA", at positions 1 to 91 of the family's 1533-position model. The record is from RNAcentral. Lineage: Bacteria; Bacillati; Actinomycetota; Actinomycetes; Propionibacteriales; Propionibacteriaceae.